CUAUGCGGGUUGAAAGAGGAAUCAGCAGACCACCUGUUUAGCCGUUGUUUUUUCAGCAAGUUCAUUAUUGUGACUGGGGUAGACGAUAUUCAGACCCGUGACCUGGGGGUUGAUGUGAAGCUCGUUUGGGAUAGGUGGAAGGAUAGAAAGGAUCAACGAAGAAACAGAUCUAGUUUGACUGAACUAGUAGGUUGCUGGUGGACCAUUUGGAACGCCAGAAACGACUUUAUCUUCCGGAAUAUAGUGCCAAAUUCUGAGCUAGUGGUCCAUAGACUAAAGCUUCUCUUGAAGGAGUGGGAUAUCUUACUUGAUUCAUAGUUUUUUAUUUUUUUAUUUUUUUAAUUUUUUUCGGUUUCUUAGCCUCCGGGGCCAAGUUGCCCAACACUUGUAGCUUAAUUCACCAAUCCAUUGAAUGAAGCGGCUAG
RNAcentral lists this long non-coding RNA (425 nucleotides) under Ananas comosus (pineapple). Its description in RNAcentral is "long non-coding RNA (ACOM_LNC043367)". The record is from RNAcentral. Lineage: Eukaryota; Viridiplantae; Streptophyta; Magnoliopsida; Poales; Bromeliaceae.